Molecule: long non-coding RNA, 927 nt
Organism: Phragmites australis (common reed)
Lineage: Eukaryota; Viridiplantae; Streptophyta; Magnoliopsida; Poales; Poaceae
Exons: 3
Source: RefSeq, a predicted model, not a curated record
UCUCCUGCAAUGUUUGAGUAACUUUUGGGUUAACUCCCUCAUUUCACUACACUUGUUUGCUAUUUUUAUUUGAGCACCAGGGAGUGAUAUCUGUAUUUGAGUAACUUUUUGUUUCUAUACUGCUCACGGAGUGAUAUCUAUUUUUGUCGUGUUAGUGAAAAUGAGCAGCUCUCCAAGUACGGUGAUACAAAAUAUGCAAGAACAAUAAUGCUUGUUGAGCUGAAGAAGCUGAUUGAAGCUAACCCCUUAUUCCGUGACAAGCUUCAGUUUCUCUUCUCUGUGUUUUCGAAUUUGUUCUGUUUUUGUGAUGAUUUAGCGGGGGAUUUGUUGGUUCGCGAUGCGAUUCGAGGUCAAUAGUUGUAUCCUGCGUGUUCUGGGGUUUGGGUUUCGAUCUGAUUUGUGUAUUUCCUCCUAUCGAAUGAGCAUCCGCACUGGGUAACCUGGUGCUCAAAUGUUGAGAUUUGUAGUCAAAACAUGCUAACUUGGUGCCCUAGGACAUAGAUCUCCUGCAAUGUUUGAGUAACUUUUGGGUUAACUCCCUCAUUUCACUGCACUUGUUUGCUAUUUUUAUUUGAGCACCAGGGAGUGAUAUCUUUAUUUGAGUAACUUUUUGUUUCUGGAUUGCCCAGGGAGUGAUAUCUGUUUUUGUCUUGUUAGGGAAAAUGAGCAGCUCUCCAAGUACGGUGAUACAAAAUAUGCAAGAACAAUAAUGCUUGUUGACCUGAAGAAGCUGAUUGAAGCUAACCCCUUAUUCUGCGACAAGCUUCAGUUUCCCAACCUGAAGAAUUCCAGAUUGCGUACACUUAUCAGCCAGAGGGCGUUUUUCUGUGUUUGGAGAUGGCUAGGAAAAAGAAAUGUUCUACAGGUGACAUCCCAAUACCUGAUACUUUUGAAGGGACAGAGAGUUCUGACACUACUGGACAUAAC